This 394-nucleotide ribosomal RNA is filed under the name uncultured bacterium. RNAcentral's name for it is "bacterial SSU rRNA". It matches the Rfam family "Bacterial small subunit ribosomal RNA", at positions 30 to 418 of the family's 1533-position model. The record is from RNAcentral.
AUUGAACGCUGGCGGCAUGCCUUACACAUGCAAGUCGAACGGCAGCAUGGAGGAGCUUGCUCCUCUGAUGGCGAGUGGCGAACGGGUGAGUAAAGCAUCGGAACGUACCGUGUAGUGGGGAUAACGUAGCGGAAGUUACGCUAAUACCGCAUACGCACUGAGGUGGAAAAGCAGGGGAUCGCAAGACCUUGCGCUAUACGAGCGGCCGAUGUCAGAUUAGCUAGUUGGUAGGGUAAAGGCCUACCAAGGCGACGAUCUGUAGCGGGUCUGAGAGGAUGAUCCGCCACACUGGGACUGAGACACGGCCCAGACUCCUACGGGAGGCAGCAGUGGGGAAUUUUGGACAAUGGGGGAAACCCUGAUCCAGCCAUGCCGCGUGAGUGAAGAAGGCCUU